UCGAGGUUCUCUUAUGGCCUAACACGUUAUUUGAGAAUUGUGUACACUUGUUAGUUGUUUCGGUGGGUUGAUCUCCAUCGGGCACUAAUUCAUGUAAGAGGCGUUAUAAGGGUGCUUGGCUGGAUGUGUUCCGGAGCAUGUAUCAUGUAAGGCCUGCCUGGGUAGCGUCCCGAGGUCAAUUCAACUUGUCUGAGUUACGUCCUCAGGGCAAGUGUAAUGGGAGAAAUGGAUCCGUCGGUGGCUAGAGGUCCGGGAUCACAGCGAGUAACAGAAAGGGAGUGUGACAUGUGCGCACAAAUGAAAGAAAAUGUUUUAACAUGCUUAGAAGUACUUCUUUCAAUUUAAAACCUUCUAAGUCAUGUCAAGUAUGAUUGGAUAAACUGUCUUUAUUAAAAUAUGAAAUGUUUCAGAAAAUGCAUGCCCACUAAGUACAUUAGUACUUAGCCCAAAAAUACUUUCAAAUGUUUUCAGGUUGGCUGGCCGGUGCUGACGGGACGGAGCUGAGGCUAGCGAUAAAUUCCUAUGUUAGACUUCCGCUGUAGCAAUUACUCAUAUCAGUCUUUUGUUUUCCCAACUUAAGAUCUUCAUGUUAAAUUUCAAAUGAUAUACCUGACCGAGCUUAGACUCUUCACUACUAAAUUUAUGCCAAUGAAUGUCGGUUGUCAGAAGCAUGAAACAAAACUUGUGAUCCAAAGGGGCAUAGCCCGACUUUCUAUCCUAUUUCGGGUUUUUACAAGGUUGUUCCUUGUUUAUUUCUAUGAAUUAGUUGCACCUCGAUUAUAUUUAUUCAUUCAAGAAUUGGGGUGUGACAGAAUGGUAUCAGAGCAUGAGUUUCCUUUCAUGUUUCUGAUAACCAUAAGCUUUUAAAUGUCGAGUCUAGAAUAGUACCUCUAGACUUCUGAGAAUGUCAGUAAACCUCAGCUCGCCGUCACACUGCCGCAACUAAGGUACGAUAAUAGUUUCAAAAAUAUACAUAUAUGUAUUUCAGAUGCUAUGAAAGUUUUCAAGAAAAUGUGCGCCUUAUGUUUACGAUGCUAUGUGAAUGCUUUUUGUCGUGUUUGGGACUACCCGAACCCAUAACGACUCAAUGAAUGUAUUUCGUGUUUGGGACAACCCGAGCCCUUAACGAAUUAAUGUAUGUAUGUAUGUAUGGUCGAGUUAGAUUCCUUGAAUCUUUCCGGCAUAAGCAAAGUUUUUCAUGAAAGGGACAUUUAAUGUCCAUAUGACUCAAAAUUUCAAAGAAAGCAAAUAUAUGUAUGUAUGUAUGUAUGUAUGAAUGACUGAUGAGAAAGCUUUAUGUUAUCAUUUUAGGUUCACUGCCUAUAUGAUUAGAAUGAUGAGUUCCUUUACAAAUUGUUUGAGAACCACCCAAGAAUGUCUUAAAAAUGUUAGUCGUGAUAGCACCGCUAGAACGGCAUAGAAUGGAUUUAUAUGGUACCAAUGAUUUAUGAUUGAAGUACUUAGAAGUAAGUGCUUUAAGUUAGAAGUUGACUUAGAGCUUCAUAAGAGAUAAGAAGUUGACAUGAUUGGGGGCGAAGCUUCCAUUUAACUGAGAGAUUCGCCGUGCUGGGUCUGGCCAGCCCACAUGACUAUGAUCUCGGUGAUUGUCAAUUUAGUCAUCCCAAUGUAUAAACUCGUACUAUAUAGUUGUCCCAAUAAGAUCUUCUUUGAUCACGAUAAGCAUAGUAUGAUUAGAAUGAGUUCGUUUGUCAACAGUUCUCGAGACAUGAGACGUAGCAUUCUCACGAUUAGAAAAUGUGAUAAGCAUCAAGUUAUGUAGGUGCACUAAUAGUGAAAGUCUAGUAUUCAAACUAGAUGACCCAGAUGUGCAAUUUCGAGGACGAAAUUUUUAUAAGGAGGGAGGAAUGUAACACCCCGCCCAAUUAUAUUAAGUUUAGAAUUCAUUUUGAACUUAGAUUAUGAUGAUUUACGCCGGAGAAUUUGAAAUAAAUUUAUUUUAAUUCCAACAAAAAUGAUUUACAAAAACAUUUGUAAAUUUAGUUAUUAAAUUUUUAUGCAUUGCAUAUUUAUUUAAUUUAGCAUUCAAGUAUUUUCACGAGCUAUUUAUUUAAGCGUACCCUGAACGAUUAUUACAGUUUUCAUAAUACAACCCGGAAGACUUUAUUUUAUUAUAUUUUAUUUAUUCACCUAAUUUCUCUACCUAAUUUCUCCACCUACUCUUCCACAUCCACCUACUCUCCCACCACUACUCCUACCUCCCCACCACUACAUUCCAUAUUACACUUAUCAAUAUUACACUUAGCAAGACAAAGCACACUUCAUUUCUUCCUCACACUUCAUUCUCGGCCUCCCCUCUCUCUCUCUAUACUCUCUUUUCCUCCAUUGAUGUCCAUUGAAGAAAGCUUAGAGAAGCUUCAUCAAACACUACUAUGAGAUAAUCCACCAUCCAAUCCAAUCAAAUACUAUCAUAUCUCAUCAAAUUCAAGAAGCUAGAGCUAAGAUCAAAGUUGGAGCAAAGUCUUGAUCACCUUUUAAAUCCUUGAGCUUUGUGACCGGGGGGAUUAGCGCUGCUUUCCCAAGACAGGUUUUUAUGUGUAUGAUCUUCAGGCUUUGCCUAUCCAGGUGGGCUUACUUUCCAAAUGUACAAAGUAUGAUUGAGUUAUUAAGCUCUAAAUGUUUCAAUGAACUGCAAAUUGUUUAUUUAAUGUAAUGAAAACUGUUUAUCCAAUAAAAUGUUUAUGUGCACUCUGCUCUGUUUAAGGCUCGCAAUUCAUGGAUCGAUCGAGGUUCUCUUAUGGCCUAACACGUUAUUUGAGAAUUGUGUACACUUGUUAGUUGUUUCGGUGGGUUGAUCUCCAUCGGGCACUAAUUCAUGUAAGAGGCGUUAUAAGGGUGCUUGGCUGGAUGUGUUCCGGAGCAUGUAUCAUGUAAGGCCUGCCUGGGUAGCGUCCCGAGGUCAAUUCAACUUGUCUGAGUUACGUCCUCAGGGCAAGUGUAAUGGGAGAAAUGGAUCCGUCGGUGGCUAGAGGUCCGGGAUCACAGCGAGUAACAGAAAGGGAGUGUGACAUGUGCGCACAAAUGAAAGAAAAUGUUUUAACAUGCUUAGAAGUACUUCUUUCAAUUUAAAACCUUCUAAGUCAUGUCAAGUAUGAUUGGAUAAACUGUCUUUAUUAAAAUAUGAAAUGUUUCAGAAAAUGCAUGCCCACUAAGUACAUUAGUACUUAGCCCAAAAAUACUUUCAAAUGUUUUCAGGUUGGCUGGCCGGUGCUGACGGGACGGAGCUGAGGCUAGCGAUAAAUUCCUAUGUUAGACUUCCGCUGUAGCAAUUACUCAUAUCAGUCUUUUGUUUUCCCAACUUAAGAUCUUCAUGUUAAAUUUCAAAUGAUAUACCUGACCGAGCUUAGACUCUUCACUACUAAAUUUAUGCCAAUGAAUGUCGGUUGUCAGAAGCAUGAAACAAAACUUGUGAUCCAAAGGGGCAUAGCCCGACUUUCUAUCCUAUUUCGGGUUUUUACAAGGUUGUUCCUUGUUUAUUUCUAUGAAUUAGUUGCACCUCGAUUAUAUUUA
This is a long non-coding RNA of Salvia miltiorrhiza (redroot sage), 3528 nucleotides long. RefSeq lists it as uncharacterized. NCBI's taxonomy places the organism in Eukaryota, Viridiplantae, Streptophyta, Magnoliopsida, Lamiales, Lamiaceae. The record is from RefSeq and is a predicted model, not a curated record. The transcript has 2 exons.